This 77-nucleotide transfer RNA is filed under the name Verrucomicrobiota bacterium. RNAcentral's name for it is "Verrucomicrobia bacterium tRNA-Val". It matches the Rfam family "tRNA". Rfam says of the family: Transfer RNA (tRNA) molecules are approximately 80 nucleotides in length. Lineage: Bacteria; Pseudomonadati; Verrucomicrobiota. RNAcentral also lists the same sequence under 1 other name. The record is from RNAcentral.
GGGCGAUUAGCUCAGUUGGCUAGAGCAUCUGGUUUACACCCAGAGGGUCGGCGGUUCGAGUCCGUCAUCGCCCACCA